GCGCAGCAGUCGAGAAAACUUCACAAUGUGCGAAAGCACGAUGAGGGAAUCCCAAGUGCUUGCACGUAAGUGUAAGCUGUUUCUCUGUCUAAAACGCAGAGAGAGUAAGGGCUGGGUAAGACGGGUGCCAGCCGCCGCGGUAAUACCUGCAGCUCGAGUGGUGACCGUUAUUAUUGGGCCUAAAACGUCCGUAGCCGGUUUAAUAAAUGCCUGGGUAAAUCGGACCGCUUAACGGUUCGAAUUCCGGGUAGACUGUUAAACUUGAGACCGGGAGAAGUUAGAGGUACUCCUGGGGUAGAGGUGAAAUUCUGUAAUCCUAGGGGGACCACCAGUGGCGAAGGCGUCUAACUAGAACGGGUCUGACGGUGAGGGACGAAGCCCUGGGGCGCAAACGGGA
This 397-nucleotide ribosomal RNA is filed under the name uncultured microorganism. RNAcentral's name for it is "bacterial SSU rRNA". It matches the Rfam family "Archaeal small subunit ribosomal RNA", at positions 330 to 728 of the family's 1478-position model. The record is from RNAcentral.